GCACUUACCUGGACGGGGUCGACGGCUGAUCAAGAAGGGCCGUGGCCUGGAUCAAUGGCUCACAUUGCACUUGGUUGAGCACGUUGGUCUACCAUCUCCCCAAGUGGGAGAGUGGACGUCGUAAUUUGUGCUAGAGGGGGUACGCGUUCGCGCGGCCCCUG
This 161-nucleotide small nuclear RNA is filed under the name Brachypodium distachyon (stiff brome). RNAcentral's name for it is "U1 spliceosomal RNA". It matches the Rfam family "U1 spliceosomal RNA". Rfam says of the family: U1 is a small nuclear RNA (snRNA) component of the spliceosome (involved in pre-mRNA splicing). Its 5' end forms complementary base pairs with the 5' splice junction, thus defining the 5' donor site of an intron. There are significant differences in sequence and secondary structure between metazoan and yeast U1 snRNAs, the latter being much longer (568 nucleotides as compared to 164 nucleotides in human). Lineage: Eukaryota; Viridiplantae; Streptophyta; Magnoliopsida; Poales; Poaceae. The record is from Rfam by way of RNAcentral.